Molecule: ribosomal RNA, 468 nt
Filed under: uncultured bacterium
Lineage: Bacteria
Description: partial 16S ribosomal RNA
Rfam family: Bacterial small subunit ribosomal RNA
Source: RNAcentral
GACGAACGCUGGCGGCGUGCUUAACACAUGCAAGUCGAACGGAAAGGCCCUGCUUUUGUGGGGUGCUCGAGUGGCGAACGGGUGAGUAACACGUGAGUAACCUGCCCUUGACUUUGGGAUAACUUCAGGAAACUGGGGCUAAUACCGGAUAGGAGCUCCUGCUGCAUGGUGGGGGUUGGAAAGUUUCGGCGGUUGGGGAUGGACUCGCGGCUUAUCAGCUUGUUGGUGGGGUAGUGGCUUACCAAGGCUUUGACGGGUAGCCGGCCUGAGAGGGUGACCGGCCACAUUGGGAGUGAGAGACGGCCGAGACUCCUACGGGAGGGAGCAGGGGGGAAUAUUGCACAAUGGGCGGAAGCCUGAUGCAGCAACGCCGGGUGCGGGAUGACGGCCUUCGGGUUGUAAACCGCUUUCGCCUGUGACGAAGCGUGAGUGACGGUAAUGGGUAAAGAAGCACCGGCUAACUACGUG